GUUCUGUGCAGGCUACUCUGGAGGUACAGUGUCCCUGUGCAAGCUAGUCUGGAGGUACACUGUUCUGUGCAAGCUACUCUGGAGGUACACUGUUCUGUGCAGGCUACUCUGGAGGUACAGUGUCCCUGUGCAGGCUACUCUGGAGGCCGUUAACGCCAGCAAAACCUGCAGCUGCUGUAAAGCCAACCGGUCAGAAACUUCAGUAAACCUCCAUGCCUGAACACUCAGGCACCAAUGCACUGUAUGUGUGCCAUACAACCUGAGUAAGAACAAUGACCACAAUAAUAGUGUUUUAUGGCCAGCAGUGUUCAGUCAUAAGCUGUACGAAUUACACGGAUGAUUCCACAACACACAAAACAUCAGAACAAGUAAAGGUUUUUUCCUCCCAUCUGAACCAAAACUUGGAACCAAACUAUUAAAAAUAUACAUUUUAUUAACAUUUACCUUUACAGCUUGACCCACAAGCACUAGUCAGUACCAGAUGAACAGACAGAACCAGAACCAUAAAGAAAAGCACAGAAACAUUGUUGGGGGUGGGGGGGGUUGGGUUUGGGUGAGAAAUAGGGAGCCCCUCAGGAGCGAAGCUGGUCCAGGGGGUCCCGACUGCGGUUGGACAGGUGCGCCUCUAGAAUCUGCCCAAAAAUAUCCCUCUUCAGCAGACUGUAGGCCAGUGGCAGGAGCUGCUUUACCACCUUA
Molecule: long non-coding RNA, 696 nt
Organism: Anguilla rostrata (American eel)
Lineage: Eukaryota; Metazoa; Chordata; Actinopteri; Anguilliformes; Anguillidae
Exons: 2
Source: RefSeq, a predicted model, not a curated record